AUACAACUGACGAGUCCCAAAUAGGAUGAAACGCGCGUCUUAAAU
This 45-nucleotide non-coding RNA is filed under the name Schistosoma margrebowiei. The record is from RNAcentral. Lineage: Eukaryota; Metazoa; Platyhelminthes; Trematoda; Strigeidida; Schistosomatidae.